Molecule: microRNA precursor, 103 nt
Filed under: Marmota monax (woodchuck)
Lineage: Eukaryota; Metazoa; Chordata; Mammalia; Rodentia; Sciuridae
Source: RNAcentral
AGUUGGAUAGUUGGGUUAAAUGGUGGUUCCAUUCCAAGAUUUCCAAGAAAUCACCAUACUGCUUUCCAGAUUGGCUGCACCAAUUUGCAGUCCCUCCAGCAGU